This 253-nucleotide ribosomal RNA is filed under the name uncultured bacterium. RNAcentral describes it as "partial 16S ribosomal RNA". It matches the Rfam family "Bacterial small subunit ribosomal RNA", at positions 524 to 776 of the family's 1533-position model. The record is from RNAcentral.
UCCGGAGGGUGCAAACGUUGCUCGGAAUCAUUGGGCGUCAAGCGCAAGUAGGCGGUUCGUUAAGACGGGUGUGAAAGCCCUGGGCUCAACCCAGGAAGUGCAUCCGAAACUGGCGAGCUGGAGUAUGGAAGGGGGUCGCGGAAUUCCCGGUGUAGAGGUGAAAUUCGUAGAUAUCGGGAGGAACACCAGUGGCGAUGGCGGCGACCUGGGCCAAUACUGACGCUGAGGUGCGAAAGCGUGGGGAGCACACAGG